GUGUGAAUAAAUCUGAUGUAUUCAUCAAUUCUUUAAAUUUUAAAACAUUUGGGUUUUUACAUAUAUCUAAAGGUAAAAAUUUAGCUCUAACAUUGUUGAAAAAGGUACAUUUGAAUAAGUAAUGGAACUCAUCACCAAGUUCAUUAGCAUUACAAAGAUUACAAUGUCUUUCAGAUCUAUCAAUAUUAAAAAAUCUCCCCAUUUCAAUGGGCAAUUUAUUACUAAGGCAACGGAAUUUACAUAAAUACAUUCUUAGAUCAGAUGGUAACACAGUUAAAUAUUUCUCAAAAC
RNAcentral lists this long non-coding RNA (291 nucleotides) under Mytilus galloprovincialis (Mediterranean mussel). Lineage: Eukaryota; Metazoa; Mollusca; Bivalvia; Mytilida; Mytilidae. The record is from RNAcentral.